GAACGGCUGAAGCGAAGAAGACGAAAAGCCCGCAAUUAAAUGUAGAACGUUGACUUCCUGGAAAACUUUGGAACCUGAAAUCAUCAGCUUCUGUUUCACGUGACCGCCCAGAUGUCAUCGCCCUCGGCGCUCAACCUAUUGCACAUGACUGAGUUGCAACUUAAUCCACCGUACUUUAAGAGGACUAACAACAGCAGACCUUAGAGGCCGAGGCUACAGCUGAUGUAACUAAAGCGACCACUGUGCCGAUGUCUGCGUCCUCUUUAACGGGGCUCAACAGAGACGUGAUGCUGAUUUCAGGUUGGUUGUCGUUAACAUCCGUUACCUCGACUAAAACCUUACCG
Molecule: long non-coding RNA, 344 nt
Organism: Betta splendens (Siamese fighting fish)
Lineage: Eukaryota; Metazoa; Chordata; Actinopteri; Anabantiformes; Osphronemidae
Exons: 3
Source: RefSeq, a predicted model, not a curated record